Molecule: ribosomal RNA, 647 nt
Filed under: uncultured bacterium
Lineage: Bacteria
Description: bacterial SSU rRNA
Rfam family: Bacterial small subunit ribosomal RNA
Source: RNAcentral
GGGAUAACAGUUGGAAACGACUGCUAAUACCGCAUAAGCGCACGGUAUCGCAUGAUACAGUGUGAAAAACUCCGGUGGUAUAAGAUGGACCCGCGUCUGAUUAGCUUGUUGGUGAGGUAACGGCUCACCAAGGCGACGAUCAGUAGCCGGCCUGAGAGGGUGAACGGCCACAUUGGGACUGAGACACGGCCCAAACUCCUACGGGAGGCAGCAGUGGGGAAUAUUGCACAAUGGGGGAAACCCUGAUGCAGCGACGCCGCGUGAGUGAUGAAGUAUUUCGGUAUGUAAAACUCUAUCAGCAGGGAAGAUAAUGACGGUACCUGACUAAGAAGCACCGGCUAAAUACGUGCCAGCAGCCGCGGUAAUACGUAUGGUGCAAGCGUUAUCCGGAUUUACUGGGUGUAAAGGGUGCGUAGGUGGUAUGGCAAGUCAGAAGUGAAAGGCUGGGGCUCAACCCCGGGACUGCUUUUGAAACUGUCAAACUAGAGUACAGGAGAGGAAAGCGGAAUUCCUAGUGUAGCGGUGAAAUGCGUAGAUAUUAGGAGGAACACCAGUGGCGAAGGCGGCUUUCUGGACUGAAACUGACACUGAGGCACGAAAGCGUGGGGAGCAAACAGGAUUAGAUACCCUGGUAGUCCACGCCGUAA